UUCGGAAUGAAGAUUUUGUGACUGAGUGGCGGACGGGUGAGUAACGCGUGGGUAACCUGCCUCAUACAGGGGGAUAACAGUUGGAAACGACUGCUAAUACCGCAUAAGCGCACAGGGUCGCAUGAUUCUUAUGCCAAAGAUUUAUCGCUUCAAGAUGGCCUCGCGUCUGAUUAGCUGGUUGGCGGGGUAACGGCCCACCAAGGCGACGAUCAGUAGCCGGACUGAGAGGUUGAACGGCCACAUUGGAACUGAGACACGGUCCAAACUCC
Molecule: ribosomal RNA, 269 nt
Filed under: uncultured Eubacteriales bacterium
Lineage: Bacteria; Bacillati; Bacillota; Clostridia; Eubacteriales
Description: uncultured Clostridiales bacterium partial 16S ribosomal RNA
Rfam family: Bacterial small subunit ribosomal RNA
Source: RNAcentral